Molecule: ribosomal RNA, 256 nt
Filed under: Escherichia coli
Lineage: Bacteria; Pseudomonadati; Pseudomonadota; Gammaproteobacteria; Enterobacterales; Enterobacteriaceae
Also listed under: 3 other names
Description: partial 16S ribosomal RNA
Rfam family: Bacterial small subunit ribosomal RNA
Source: RNAcentral
AAAGUGCGUCGUAGUCCGGAUUGGAGUCUGCAACUCGACUCCAUGAAGUCGGAAUCGCUAGUAAUCGUGGAUCAGAAUGCCACGGUGAAUACGUUCCCGGGCCUUGUACACACCGCCCGUCACACCAUGGGAGUGGGUUGCAAAAGAAGUAGGUAGCUUAACCUUCGGGAGGGCGCUUACCACUUUGUGAUUCAUGACUGGGGUGAAGUCGUAACAAGGUAACCGUAGGGGAACCUGCGGUUGGAUCACCUCCUUA